UUUUUUAAAGAAUGAGGAAAGAUAGUUCAAUAAUGUUUCUGGCAAGGAUUUAAGUGUUGUGAACGAGGUUGUGCCGCAAAUUUGCUGGUACGGCACGGCACGGUGUGUGCCGAGCCGUGUCAAUGUGUGCCGGUUAAAAAAAUUUCUAUGUGCCGACACAUAAUAGUAUAAAAUAUUUAUUUUUUUUAGCAACAAAAUAUUCUAACUAUUUAUUAUAUCAUUUUAUCAUAUCUUUUGAAUUUUAUUGAAGAAAUUACUUACUAAUUUAAAGAAUAUAGGGUUUUAAGCUGUGCUAUCGGCACGGGGUCUGUAUCGUGCCGGUAUCUUGUUGGCAUGGUACGGCACGGUGGAUACGGCUCGUGCUGACAGGCACUUAAAAUCUUGGUUUAUGAAUUAAUUUCAUACAAGUCCUUGCAAAUAUAGUAAAUGAUAAAUAUAUCCUAUAAAGUACAACUUUUAUAUAUUAUUCCUAUAAAAGUCUUUAUAUUUUUAAAUAUGUCCCUACCAUUAGAAUUCGUUAGAAAAAAAAUUAGUUAACCAUAAAUUAAAUACUUAACCCUAGUUAAUUUUUGACAUUUUUACCCCUUUAUAUUAUAAUAUUAUGACUUUUGUAAGAAUAUAUUUGCGAAAAAUUGAAAAUAUAAACAGUUCUCUAACGGUUCUCUAACGGUAACAAAUUAGGAUUUUUAGAGGAACAACAUAUGAAAGUUGAACUUUGUAUGAAUAUAUUUGCUAUUCACUAUAUUUGUAGGAACUUGUAUGAAAUUAACCCCAAAAAGUAAUAGUACAAUGCGUAAUUAAAGAAACUGUAUGGUGCAGUAUAGUAAAUUGUAACUAAGGGGCUGUUUGGUUUGACGUAAAACUGCGAAAAAUAAUUUUCGGUGGAAAAAAAUUUUCGGUGGAAAAUUUUUUUUACGUAGCUUAAUGUUUGAUUUGUAGGAAAAGAAAAAUAGUUUUCGAUGAAGGUUGUUUGAUUGAAAGGAAAAGAAAAAUAAAUGAAAAUCUAUUUAAUAUAUUUUUAUUAUAUAUAUUAUUAUUAUAUAAUAAUUAAUAUACUAUAUAUAUUAUUAUUAUAU
This 1076-nucleotide long non-coding RNA is filed under the name Ananas comosus (pineapple). RNAcentral's name for it is "long non-coding RNA (ACOM_LNC033359)". Lineage: Eukaryota; Viridiplantae; Streptophyta; Magnoliopsida; Poales; Bromeliaceae. The record is from RNAcentral.